UGAUUAAAAUUUAUUUAAUGAUUUUAAAUAUCUCGAAAAUAAGGGAGCUAAAUUUAUAUUAUUUUUUUUGUAGCAAUAAAAUUAUAAAUAUAGAUUUAGAAAUUAAAUGUUAAACGAACUUAUUAAUAUCUAGUUUUUUUAGAAAUAAAUUUAAUUUAGAUAUAAUUAUUUUAGUAAAUUAAAUUUUAUUUUAAUUUAUUAAUUUUUAUAUUAAAAAUUUAUGGGAUAAUCUAUAAAUUUAAGAUAAAAAUUUAAUUUUAAUUUUUAAUGUUAUAGAGAUAAUAUUUUUCUUUAAUUUUAAUAAUUUAAUAAUUUAAUAUUUAUAAAUUAAUAAUGAUUUAAAUUUAUAUUUUAUUUUUCUAUAAAAAUUUAUAUUUUAAUUAAUAAAAUAUAGAAAUAAUGAUUAGAUUAGUAAUAAAGUUAUAUUUUAUAAUGAUAUUUUGUAUUAUAUAAUUUAAAGGAAUUCGGCAAAUAUAUUAUUCACCUGUUUAUCAAAAACAUGUCCUGUUGAUUAUAAUUUUAGGUCGAUCUGCUCAAUGAAUUAUUUUAAAUAGCUGCAGUAUGUUGACUGUACAAAGGUAGCAUAAUAAAUUGUCUUUUAAUUGAAGAAUUGUAUGAAAGAAUUAAUGAAAUAAUAACUGUCUCUAAAUUAUUAAAUGAAUUUAAAUUUUUAGUUAAAAUUCUAAAAUUUAAUUAUGGGACGAUAAGACCCUAUAGAAUUUAAUUUAAUUUUUAAAUUUAUUUAUAAUUUUAAUAAAUAUAUUUAAGAUUAAAUUUGAUUGGGAGGAUUGGUAAAUUUAAUAAACUUUAUUUAAGAUUUAAUUUUGAUAUAAAGAUAAUUUUUUGAAUUAUAAAUUGUAAUUAAAAGAAUAAAUUACCUUAGGGAUAACAG
Molecule: ribosomal RNA, 892 nt
Filed under: Apis mellifera carpatica
Lineage: Eukaryota; Metazoa; Arthropoda; Insecta; Hymenoptera; Apidae
Description: partial large subunit ribosomal RNA
Source: RNAcentral